GGGUUGUGAGGUUAAGUGACUAAGCGUACACGGUGGAUGCCCUGGCAGUCAGAGGCGAUGAAGGACGUGCUAAUCUGCGAUAAGCGUCGGUAAGGUGAUAUGAACCGUUAUAACCGGCGAUUUCCGAAUGGGGAAACCCAGUGUGUUUCGACACACUAUCAUUAACUGAAUCCAUAGGUUAAUGAGGCGAACCGGGGGAACUGAAACAUCUAAGUACCCCGAGGAAAAGAAAUCAACCGAGAUUCCCCCAGUAGCGGCGAGCGAACGGGGAGCAGCCCAGAGCCUGAAUCAGUGUGUGUGUUAGUGGAAGCGUCUGGAAAGGCGCGCGAUACAGGGUGACAGCCCCGUACACAAAAAUGCACAUACUGUGAGCUCGAUGAGUAGGGCGGGACACGUGGUAUCCUGUCUGAAUAUGGGGGGACCAUCCUCCAAGGCUAAAUACUCCUGACUGACCGAUAGUGAACCAGUACCGUGAGGGAAAGGCGAAAAGAACCCCGGCGAGGGGAGUGAAAAAGAACCUGAAACCGUGUACGUACAAGCAGUGGGAGCCUCUUUAUGG
Molecule: ribosomal RNA, 559 nt
Filed under: Escherichia coli
Lineage: Bacteria; Pseudomonadati; Pseudomonadota; Gammaproteobacteria; Enterobacterales; Enterobacteriaceae
Description: partial 23S ribosomal RNA
Rfam family: Bacterial large subunit ribosomal RNA
Source: RNAcentral